This 164-nucleotide ribosomal RNA is filed under the name Glyceria grandis. RNAcentral's name for it is "5.8S ribosomal RNA". It matches the Rfam family "5.8S ribosomal RNA". From Rfam's summary of the family: 5.8S ribosomal RNA (5.8S rRNA) is a component of the large subunit of the eukaryotic ribosome. It is transcribed by RNA polymerase I as part of the 45S precursor that also contains 18S and 28S rRNA. Lineage: Eukaryota; Viridiplantae; Streptophyta; Magnoliopsida; Poales; Poaceae. The record is from RNAcentral.
CACAUGACUCUCGGCAACGGAUAUCUCGGCUCUCGCAUCGAUGAAGAACGUAGCGAAAUGCGAUACCUGGUGUGAAUUGCAGAAUCCCGCGAACCAUCGAGUCUUUGAACGCAAGUUGCGCCUGAGGCCACCCGGUUGAGGGCACGCCUGCCUGGGCGUCACGC